UACGGAGGGAGAAAGAGAUAAGAGGAAUCACUGGGCGUAAAGCGUGCGUAGGCGGUUUGUUUAGUCAGAUGUGAAAGCCCCGGGCUCAACCUGGGAACUGCAUUUGAUACUGGCAGACUAGAGUAUGGUAGAGGGGGGUAGAAUUCCUGGUGUAGCGGUGAAAUGCGUAGAUAUCAGGAGGAAUACCAGUGGCGAAGGCGACCCCCUGGGCCAAUACUGACGCUGAGGUACGAAAGCGUGGGGAGCGAACAGG
RNAcentral lists this ribosomal RNA (253 nucleotides) under uncultured bacterium. RNAcentral's name for it is "partial 16S ribosomal RNA". It matches the Rfam family "Bacterial small subunit ribosomal RNA", at positions 524 to 776 of the family's 1533-position model. The record is from RNAcentral.